This 243-nucleotide unclassified non-coding RNA is filed under the name Glomeraceae sp. RNAcentral describes it as "partial contains 5.8S ribosomal RNA and internal transcribed spacer 2". The stretch from base 1 to 71 matches the Rfam family "5.8S ribosomal RNA", at positions 84 to 154 of the family's 154-position model. The record is from RNAcentral. Lineage: Eukaryota; Fungi; Glomeromycota; Glomeromycetes; Glomerales; Glomeraceae.
GUGAAUCAUCAAAUUUUUGAACGCAAAUUGCGCUCUCUGGUAUUCCGGGGAGUAUGCCUGUUUGAGGGUCAGUUUAAAUAAAAAUCGGUGUGGUGGCUGCGUGUCGUGGUGGUGAAAGGGAUGUGGGUAGUAUUGCUUUCGGUUAAGUGGGCUAAAAUGUUGAAUGAUUUUUUCGAACGUAUUGAAAUGAUGUUACGUAGGUUUGAGAUAUCGUAUACUAGGUGCUGUCAUUCUCAUGAUCAG